RNAcentral lists this ribosomal RNA (254 nucleotides) under uncultured bacterium. Its description in RNAcentral is "partial 16S ribosomal RNA". It matches the Rfam family "Bacterial small subunit ribosomal RNA", at positions 524 to 776 of the family's 1533-position model. The record is from RNAcentral.
UACGAAGGGGGCUAGCGUUGUUCGGAAUUACUGGGCGUAAAGCGCGCGUAGGCGGUUUUGCAAGCCAGAGGUGAAAUGCCUGAGCUCAACUUAGGAAUUGCCUUUGGGACUGCGAGGCUUUGAGGACUGGAGAGGUGAGUGGAAUUCCCAGUGUAGAGGUGAAAUGCGUAGAGAUGUGGAGGAACACCAGUGGCGAAGGCGACUCUUUGGUCUGUAACUGACGCUGAGGCGCGAAAGCGUGGGGAGCAAACAGG